Molecule: long non-coding RNA, 546 nt
Filed under: Equus caballus (horse)
Lineage: Eukaryota; Metazoa; Chordata; Mammalia; Perissodactyla; Equidae
Description: lncRNA (ENSECAG00000041961.2)
Source: RNAcentral
ACAUUCAAGACUAGACUAUCUGAAACCAUGAAGGGUCACAAUACAGGAGAUGCAUUUCACUGUAUUAUAACAUUAUUACUUUGAGAUGUACAGAGGUUAUAGUAACAUACCGAAGAUUUUACAAACUCUUGGAUAUGGGGUCCACAUACCUUCUGAAAUGUGUCUGAACAUUCUCCAGCCUUCAACUGCAUUUCAACCAGCAGCAUUUCAGUAGACAGAAGAGAAAGGUGGAUCUGCACUUGAUGCACAGCAAUAAUACAGAUGUGGUGGUAACCGAGCAGUUCCCUGAGUGCCAGACGAUCAGUCAACAGAGGAGGCUGCUACAGGAUGUUGAUUUCCUUUCUCAAGCUUGCAAGCAGCUAAACAUGGUCUACAAAUUUUCUGCUAGAAGAGUGGACUGCAAUAUUGCCCAAACUUGCUCCUUCAUCAUUUAUUAUAACUGAGCUUCAACAUAUGAAUUUUGGGAGGACACAAAUAUUUAUUCCAUAACAGAAAGGGUCAAUCCUGGAAGGAGGGAAUAGAAUUUGCAAGGAUAUGAAGUGAAAG